AGUAAGGAACUCCCCUCACCUGGUUGUCUAGGUCUCAGUAAGGAACUCCCCUCACCUGGUUGUCUAGGUCUCAGUAAGGAACUCCCCUCACCUGGUUGUCUAGGUCUCAGUAAGGAACUCCCCUCACCUGGUUGUCUAGGUCUCAGUAAGGAACUCCCCUCACCUGGUUGUCUAGGUCUCAGUAAGGAACUCCCCUCACCUGGUUGUCUAGGUCUCAGUAAGGAACUCCCCUCACCUGGUUGUCUAGGUCUCAGUAAGGAACUCCCCUCACCUGGUUGUCUAGGUCUCAGUAAGGAACUCCCCUCACCUGGUUGUCUAGGUCUCAGUAAGGAACUCCCCUCACCUGGUUGUCUAGGUCUCAGUAAGGAACUCCCCUCACCUGGUUGUCUAGGUCUCAGUAAGGAACUCCCCUCACCUGGUUGUCUAGGUCUCAGUAAGGAACUCCCCUCACCUGGUUGAG
Molecule: long non-coding RNA, 460 nt
Organism: Oncorhynchus keta (chum salmon)
Lineage: Eukaryota; Metazoa; Chordata; Actinopteri; Salmoniformes; Salmonidae
Exons: 5
Source: RefSeq, a predicted model, not a curated record